Molecule: ribosomal RNA, 484 nt
Filed under: uncultured bacterium
Lineage: Bacteria
Description: partial 16S ribosomal RNA
Rfam family: Bacterial small subunit ribosomal RNA
Source: RNAcentral
AUUGAACGCUGGCGGCAGGCCUAACACAUGCAAGUCGAGCGGAUGAAGGGAGCUUGCUCCUGGAUUCAGCGGCGGACGGGUGAGUAAUGCCUAGGAAUCUGCCUGGUAGUGGGGGAUAACGUCCGGAAACGGGCGCUAAUACCGCAUACGUCCUGAGGGAGCAAGUGGGGGAUCUUCGGACCUCACGCUAUCAGAUGAGCCUAGGUCGGAUUAGCUAGUUGGUGGGGUAAAGGCCUACCAAGGCGACGAUCCGUAACUGGUCUGAGAGGAUGAUCAGUCACACUGGAACUGAGACACGGUCCAGACUCCUACGGGAGGCAGCAGUGGGGAAUAUUGGACAAAGGGCGAAAGCCUGAUCCAGCCAUGCCGCGUGUGUGAAGAAGGUCUUCGGAUUGUAAAGCACUUUAAGUUGGGAGGAAGGGCAGUAAGUUAAUACCUUGCUGUUUUGACGUUACCAACAGAAUAAGCACCGGCUAACUUCGUG